CAGGUGUAGCGGUGAAAUCGUAGAGAUCUGGAGGAAUACCGAUGGCGAAGGCAGCUUCCUGGCAUCAUACUGACACUGAGGCUCGAAAGCGUGGGUAGCAAACAGGAUUAGAUACCCUGGUAGUCCACGCCGUAAACGAUGUCUACUAGUCGUUGGGUCCCUUGAGGACUUAGUGACGCAGCUAACGCAAUAAGUAGACCGCCUGGGGAGUACGGCCGCAAGGUUAAAACUCAAAUGAAUUGACGGGGGCCCGCACNAGCGGUGGAGCAUGUGGUUUANUUCGAUGCAACGCGAAGAACCUUACCUGGUCUUGACAUACACAGAAUCUUGUAGAGAUACGAGAGUGCCUUCGGGAAUUGUGAUACAGGUGCUGCAUGGCUGUCGUCAGCUNGUGUCGUGAGAUGUUGGGUUAAGUCCCGCAACGAGCGCAACCCUUGUCCUUAGUUACCAGCGGGUUAAGCCGGGAACUCUAAGGAUACUGCCAGUGACAAACUGGAGGAAGGCGGGGACGACGUCAAGUCAUCAUGGCCCUUACGACCAGGGCUACACACNUGCUACAAUGGUAGGUACAGAGGGCAGCUACACAGCGAUGUGAUGCGAAUCUCAAAAAGCCUAUCGUAGUCCAGAUUGGAGUCUGCAACUCGACUCCAUGAAGUAGGAAUCGCUAGUAAUCGCGGAUCAGAAUGCCGCGGUGAAUACGUUCCCGGGCCUUGUACACACCGCCCGUCACACCAUGGGAGUUGAUUGCACCAGAAGUGGUUAGCCGAACCUUUAGGACGGCG
RNAcentral lists this ribosomal RNA (782 nucleotides) under Psychrobacter celer. RNAcentral's name for it is "bacterial SSU rRNA". It matches the Rfam family "Bacterial small subunit ribosomal RNA", at positions 670 to 1452 of the family's 1533-position model. Lineage: Bacteria; Pseudomonadati; Pseudomonadota; Gammaproteobacteria; Moraxellales; Moraxellaceae. The record is from RNAcentral.